Molecule: ribosomal RNA, 463 nt
Filed under: uncultured bacterium
Lineage: Bacteria
Description: bacterial SSU rRNA
Rfam family: Bacterial small subunit ribosomal RNA
Source: RNAcentral
CCUACGGGGGGCUGCAGUAACGAAUAUUGGGCAAUGGGCGCAAGCCUGACCCAGCGACGCCGCGUGCAGGAGGAAGUCCUUCGGGAUGUAAACUGCUGUCAGGGGCUAGCAAGCAAAGGGUGUUAACAGCAUCCGGCGUUGAGCCGCCCCAGAGGAAGCCUCGACUAACUCUGUGCCAGCAGUCGCGGUAAGACAGAGGAGGCAAGCGUUGUUCGGAAUCACUGGGCUUAAAGCGCGUGUAGGCGGCGGCGCAAGUGUCGUGUGAAAUCCCACGGCUCAACCGUGGAACUGCACGGCAAACUACGUCGCUUGAGGUUGGUAGAGGUGCCUGGAACUCUCGGUGGAGCGGUGAAAUGCGUUGAUAUCGAGAGGAACGCCGGAAGCGAAAGCGGGGCACUGGGCCGAUUCUGACGCUGAGACGCGAAAGCGUGGGGAGCAAACAGGAUUAGAUACCCCAGUAGUC